GCGUGAGUGAAGAAGGCCUUCGGGUUGUAAAGCUCUUUCAGCAGGGACGAUGAUGACGGUACCUGCAGAAGAAGCCCCGGCUAACUCCGUGCCAGCAGCCGCGGUAAUACGGAGGGGGCUAGCGUUGUUCGGAUUUACUGGGCGUAAAGCGCACGUAGGCGGUGUGCAUAGUCAGAGGUGAAAGCCCGGGGCUCAACCCCGGAACUGCCUUUGAUACUUGCAUGCUAGAAUCCGUGAGAGGGUAGUGGAAUUCCUAGUGUAGAGGUGAAAUUCGU
Molecule: ribosomal RNA, 275 nt
Filed under: uncultured bacterium
Lineage: Bacteria
Description: partial 16S ribosomal RNA
Rfam family: Bacterial small subunit ribosomal RNA
Source: RNAcentral